CGCACAGGUGCUGCAUGGCUGUCGUCAGCUCGUGUCGUGAGAUGUUGGGUUAAGUUCCCGGCAACGAGCGCAACCCUUAUCCCCAGUUGCCAUCAGGGUAAAGCUGGGAACUCUGGGGAGACUGCCGGUGAUAAACCGGAGGAAGGCGGGGAUGACGUCAAGUCCUCAUGGCCCUUACAUCCCGGGCUACACACGUGCUACAAUGGCAGGUACAGAGGGCUGCGAAGCCGCGAGGUGGAGCGAAUCCCAGAAAACCUGUCUCAGUCCGGAUUGAAGUCUGCAACUCGACUUCAUGAAGGCGGAAUCGCUAGUAACCGCGAAUCAGCAGGUCGCGGUGAAUACGUUCUCGGGUUU
RNAcentral lists this ribosomal RNA (354 nucleotides) under uncultured Latescibacterota bacterium. Its description in RNAcentral is "bacterial SSU rRNA". It matches the Rfam family "Bacterial small subunit ribosomal RNA", at positions 1031 to 1381 of the family's 1533-position model. Lineage: Bacteria; Pseudomonadati; Candidatus Latescibacterota. The record is from RNAcentral.